This 253-nucleotide ribosomal RNA is filed under the name uncultured bacterium. Its description in RNAcentral is "partial 16S ribosomal RNA". It matches the Rfam family "Bacterial small subunit ribosomal RNA", at positions 524 to 776 of the family's 1533-position model. The record is from RNAcentral.
UACGUAGGGGGCAAGCGUUGUCCGGAUUUACUGGGCGUAAAGAGCUCGUAGGCGGUUUGUCGCGUUGUUCGUGAAAUUCCCUGGCUUAACUGGGGGCGUGCGGGCGAUACGGGCAGACUGGAGUACUGCAGGGGAGACUGGAAUUCCUGGUGUAGCGGUGAAAUGCGCAGAUAUCAGGAGGAACACCGACGGCGAAGGCAGCUUACUGGGCCGAUACUGACGCUGAGGAGCGAAAGCGUGGGGAGCGAACAGG